This 1418-nucleotide long non-coding RNA is filed under the name Oryctolagus cuniculus (rabbit). RNAcentral's name for it is "lncRNA (ENSOCUG00000030978.1)". The record is from RNAcentral. Lineage: Eukaryota; Metazoa; Chordata; Mammalia; Lagomorpha; Leporidae.
AUGCCUGGGGUGGGAGAGGGCAGAGGGGACAGGGGAGGAACAGGCAGCGUUCUGGCCUGCACCUGGGGGCCCACCUUGGCUGGAGGCACCUGGCUCCCGGUACACCAUGGUCUGGGCCUCCCAGAAGAGGCUCCCCUGGGACUUGCCCUGGCUCCAGAGCUGGGGCCUGACCUUGGGGGCCUGGACCCCACCACUGGACUUUCUCCUCCAGAGCUGGCCGCCAAGCCCCAGGUAGCAGCGCCGUCCACUCCGCGAGAACGGCCCACCUGCUGCGGUCUCCCAGCGGCUGGAUGGAGGACCCCAGCGACUGUCCUGGGGGUCCUCGCGCCAGCCCACCCUCAGCCCUCCCUUGUCCCCCCUCAGUCUCCUGGUGUCUGUGCCAGGCCAUCCUCCCACACAGCAGAGGGGCAGAGGCCAAGGCUGCAGCUAUGCCCUGGGACCCCAGGAAAAACUGAAGACAGGACCCUGGCUCCAUGGGACCGAGAAGGUCCCCAGGCAGCGGGGCACGGCCCUGGAACCCGCGCCGAGGCAGCCCCAUGGGGGGAGUGGGGGAGGGGAGGGCCUCUGUCCUCUGUUUCCUUGCUGGAGCAAAGCCCUGGGGUCGGACUUGGUCCCACCAGCGGGAUCCCUGGUGCUCAGCGGGUGCUCGGCCAGAAGCCAGAGCAUAUUUUUAGACAAGCUGUAGGUGGGGGGUGGGCAGGCGGGGGCCCGGGGGGAGGCUGGGCUGCCUGCCAGCCCCGAGGGCGCGGGAGGCAGCGGCAGGUGACCUUCAGCGGCCACCCCUGCCCUGGCCCGCGAGGUCAGGAGGGAGCCGAGCGCCCACGUGCUCCGAGGCUGGCCUGGGGCGGUCCCAGGAGCCUUUGCGAAGCCUGCAGCCCAGCUACUGCUCCCGAGGGCCAAUCCAUCGGGCGUCUGCCCUGGCGGCUGCCUGCUGGGCGCGGCCCGGGCACAGUGCAGAGUCCUGGGCGGGCUGGGACAGCUGCGAUCAGCCAGCUGAGCCUCUUGUUUUACAGUUGGGAGUGGACACAAGGCGGUGUGGCUGUCCAGGGUCACAGGGCCCGGGGAGGGGUGCGGGUGGGGGAUGUGCAGUGGAAACAUGAGAACACGUCGGGGGGCAUGCUCCAGGGGCCCAUGUGGGCGUCGGUUGGAGACCCGGCUGCUCUACUUCCAAUCCCGCUCCCUGCUAAUGCUCCUCGGAAAGCAGUAGAAGAUGCCCAAGUCCUUGGGCCCCUGCACCCGUGUGGGAGACCCCGAGGAAGCUCCUGGCUUCAGACCGGCCCAGCUCUGGCUGUUGAGGCUAUUGGGGAGUGAACCUACAGAUGGAGGAUCUCCGCUUUCUCUCUCUCUCUCUUCCUCUCUGUCUCUGUAAUUCUGCCUUUUCAAAUAAAUAAAAUAAGUCUUAAAAAAAAAAAACGCCU